UUAAUUGAAACCAAAUUAGAGGUAUAUCACUGUUAAUGAUAUUAUUGAAUAUAAGCUCCAAUUAAG
This 66-nucleotide transfer RNA is filed under the name Parasphendale agrionina. Its description in RNAcentral is "tRNA-Asn". The record is from RNAcentral. Lineage: Eukaryota; Metazoa; Arthropoda; Insecta; Mantodea; Mantidae.